GCUCUACAGAGUGAGGCUGUCUGUGGGGUUUUUCCACCUUUAUUCUCCUUUUCCUGAGCGACUGCAGCAUCACUGGCUGCACAGUGAACCAUGGUGGAGGUUACACAGAAGGAAGCAGCCGAGAGGAACGAACACAGAAAAACUGUUUCAUGUGACUUUUUUAUUCGAUUAGUUUAUUAAAGGUUUAUUACAUGAAUUUCCAAAGUGCGCAGCAAAAGACUAAAGACAGAUAAAACACACGUGAUGAGUAUAAACAUGUGAUUGUGUGUUUCACUGCACUCUGUCCUGUCUGUGUGUGAUGUGUUCAUGUGACUGAAUCAAAGACUAAUUACUUUGUACACACAAAAAGUGGACAAUAAAGUUGUUUUGAAUAUUUUGGCUGUUUUCCGUGGUGUUCAGGUGUCUUCACUGCUCCUCCUCCUCACUCUUCACACACCUGAAGCUUUUCACAUCAGAUCAUUUGUUGCUGUCUUUUUUAAAUAAGUCAAACAUGUCACUAAAAGUGCUCCGAACGACCAUCGAUUCCUGAUUCUAUCAAUGUGACGUGUAACAGCACCCCCCCCCCCCCGUGGUCAGAGAGGGUAUUACACCCACACUGAGGUUGAGAGAGGUGAAGCACAUCAGCAGAGUGUCUGAUAGAUGACAUUCAACUAAAAUGAAAAUAAACCAGUAACCUGAAAAGGAACCGAGAGGAAACUGUUCCUAAUCUUUUGCCUAAACCAUCAUUUCUUUGAAAACUCACUCAGCUGUGCCUUCAUGCAGUUUCCACUUAAACACUGUUUCUGUUCUUUGUAUUUUGAUGAGUUCCAGCUUUUGUUCCAUGUGAUGUUCACAGCUUUGAAUUUACUUGAUCAUCUUUUUACAGACAAACAUCCUGCUGCUGAUCAGGUCAAAUGUGUUUCUCAGUCCUGGAUAUUUCAUGUCAUCUCCGUGGGUGAACAGGACCAUUUAGACCCGAGUGAUUUCCCUCCUCACAUCAGGUUCACUCUUGCUGGUGUUAAACAGACCUGGAGGAUCCACAACAGCCAGAGUUUGAUCCCCACUCUCCUGUUUGUGUCUGUCACUUGGACAUGAGUGAGGAGGAGGAUUUACAAUUACAAACUUCUUUUUAAAGAUGGUGUUUACUGCUGAAACAAAACAUUACAUCACUGAAGGUAAUCAGAAUCCUAAUGUUCACUGUUAGAAGUAAAAGUACUGACUGUUGAGUAUCCAGAGGUAGAAGGAAAGUUCAGGCUUUCUGUCCAGUUUUCAGUUGGUGGAAAAUUCAACACAGACAUGCGAGACUACCAAAAGUACUAAGUACAAAUACUUUGUUACUGUACUUAAGUACAAUUCACAGGUAUCUGUACUUGAGUAGUUUUUUUCUGACUGCUCCUUACUUUUACUCUCUACAUUUUAAACAAAUAUCUGUAUCUCAAAUGUGGUCAAGUUUCUGUGUCAGAAAACAAGAAAAUGCAAUGAA
RNAcentral lists this long non-coding RNA (1462 nucleotides) under Oreochromis niloticus (Nile tilapia). Its description in RNAcentral is "lncRNA (ENSONIG00000035874.1)". Lineage: Eukaryota; Metazoa; Chordata; Actinopteri; Cichliformes; Cichlidae. The record is from RNAcentral.